AGUUUUUCGAAUCUUUGCUGAGAUUUCGUCAGACACCAACCCAUUAGGACCGAUCAGACUUCCAAGUUAAGUGAAGUU
RNAcentral lists this microRNA precursor (78 nucleotides) under Schistosoma mattheei. RNAcentral describes it as "mir-3492 microRNA precursor family". It matches the Rfam family "mir-3492 microRNA precursor family". The record is from Rfam by way of RNAcentral. Lineage: Eukaryota; Metazoa; Platyhelminthes; Trematoda; Strigeidida; Schistosomatidae.